RNAcentral lists this long non-coding RNA (1181 nucleotides) under Heterocephalus glaber (naked mole-rat). RNAcentral describes it as "lncRNA (ENSHGLG00000041406.1)". Lineage: Eukaryota; Metazoa; Chordata; Mammalia; Rodentia; Bathyergidae. The record is from RNAcentral.
GGAAAAAACAUGUUUUGUCGGGGCUCAGGAGAGGACUGCCAGAUUCUGCUCAGCACAGGCACUCUCAUAGCCCAAAUGGACCAAGACACCUGCUGUUCCUUACUUGUUUGUCUGCUGCUCUGAAAGGACAAUCAAUGCGAAGACAAAUGUGUUUACCUUGAGGAGGCUAGAAACAUACAAAAUGCCUGCUGAGCUCAAAUGUGUGGACUUGCUUCCUCCCCAUAAGGAAGCAGGACCCUCUGGUCUGAACUAUAAACUGAGCUCAAUUGUUGCAGGGGAAACUGCAGUGAAGGCGAAACACAUGUCUGAGUCACAGAAGCACACAGAUUAAGAAGUUUGAUAAAUCAGGUGACUGUGAACAACACAGACUUUAAGCCCUCAAUUCCACUUUUAGACUGUGACGGCGGAGGUAUGGACUCACCCAACCUGACGUUGUAAGAGAAGGGAGACAGAGCAAGAGACAUGGAGAAGAAUUUCCCUGGGCCUUGAACAUGCACAGGAGCAGAAGUUCAGGAUCAGUGAUGCCAGGUCGGAGAUAAGAAGUAGAUGCCAAGAAAUAGAGCUGAAGAAACCAAGGCAUAGAAAGUUUGAAUCUUGGACCCACGAUCACAUAGGAAAUCAGAGGAAACAACAGAAAGCUUGGACGUGCUCUGCCUCUAUCCCUCUCUGUCAGCAGCUCUUGCCAGAGCCCAGUGAUGCUGGUAUGCUAAUCCCAGACUCCACAACUAAACCCAUCAGAUUCAAGUUCUCUGGAUGGUGCUCGCCCAACACCUAUGGACAGGCACAAUAUUUCAAUGGUUUCAAGAAGGUAUCCUGGGAGAAGUGAACUGAAAUAUGGAGGAUGCCUUGGAAGAGGAAGGAGCUAGAAGAGAGCAUGGUGAAGUCUGUGGCCAGAGUGCUGUGGAUGGAGAAGGGAUGGAAGGAGGGAAUUCAGAAUUUCAGCGUCCCAGGAAAGCUUCGGUGUGCUAAAAGAGAAUGGAAGCAUUGAGAGCGUUUCACACGGCUCAGGAACCCUCCAAGAGGCGACGCCAGUUCUCCACGACAGUUACCUGUUCAACGGAACUUAACUAACACACCUGUGUAUCAUCCCUGCAACAUACACGGUAAUGAUUUCCUAUUUCUUUGUGGAAAACACAGCUGUUCCAGACUCUUCACAUGUAUCUAGUCCUCCCAAGUCCCAG